UUGCAACCCCUCCUUUUUCUGUGUGGCAGUUGAAAAUGAAAGUACCUCCAACCGGUUCCCUCCUGCAACCAAUCAGACUGAUUUGCGCAGAAUGAACCAGUGGGAAACCUAUAGAGGAUAAAACACAGAAGGGAGCACAGAGCUGCCUGGUCCUGCAGCUCUCCUGGAGUGAGGUGGUGCUGCUAACCACUGGAAGCUGAAGUCCAGAGGCUCUAUUCAGUCAAGGGGUGAUGAACUCUCUUUGGGUCUGGAGACAGGCUGGAACUGGGAUGAGAUAUGGAGACCCUGCCAUUUACGACAACGUGGAUGUAUCUGCAGGACAUUAAGACAAGUGCAAUAAGCAAGACACGGAAAGAAAAUAUAGCAUGGUCUCUCUUAUAUGUGGAAUUUUAAAAAUUAACUCUGAAUACUUUGGAUUAAACUGAUGCAGCAGUCAUCCAAGAGAUGUCCACAUAUGUACUCCUGUUAAUGUUAGUUCCUUUCAUCCAAGCCAUCAGAGGUUCUCCCUGGAUCUCAUUUUUGGGGUGAUGUCCUAUACUUUUUUUUAAAUCUCCAUUAACUCCUCUCCUUAGUGGUUUUAAUGGCAUAUUCAUACAAUAUUAGAAUGAAAUUUGUGAGUCAAUAUUAAUUUCCAGGUUCAUAGUCUCACAGCUUGAACACAAACUAUUCAGACCUUUGAAAUUACCUUUAUUUCUUUACUUCCAGAGUAGCUGACUUUUUCAUUCUCUGCUGGAGCGUUUGGGCUGAUUCAUCACCCCCUCCCCCACCACCAUUCACUGAAUGUAGCCACUGGUCGUGGCUGCCUUUUCUGCUAUUUUAUAGAACCAAGCCUGAAUCUAUAAAGCGCUUCCCUUGGUACCUCCCAGAAACUUUUUAUUGCCUGUCUCUUUCUGUCAACUCAGUUGCAGAAAAAUACAUUUUAUGGCUCCAGUAAUUUAAGAAAGCUCUGAAAAAUCAAAUCUGUCCAUGGCAGUGCUAGCAUACUGUCUAUUAGAUUAAAUGAAGCUGUAAGCAUCUUUGAAGUACAAAUGAUACUUGGAAAGUAAAUGAAACUGGGAAUACUUGCAAGUAAAAUAUGGGAAGUCAAAGAGAUUAAAGGAUGAGAACCAGAAAUUGCUUAUGGCCAGUGUCCUGAGUAAGCCUCAGAAUCGCAUCCUAGAAGCAUCAAGUUCUUGUGUUACCCUAUGGAUCUAAAAAACGACUUCCUUAGUUUGAUGUAGUCUGCAGACAUCUCAUCAUCACAAAAACUUGAAAGCACUUACAGCACUAAGAAACUACCUUUGCAGAUUGUAAAAAAAGAUAGAAUCCUACUUAGUGUUUUGAUCACACCUGCCUAUUUCCCCAAGGUUUUACUGCAGGGUUAAAGAAUGAAUAAGCAUCUAGUUAUAUUUAAUAAACUCCAUGCCUUAUGGCUGAUUCUAAAGGCA
Molecule: long non-coding RNA, 1427 nt
Filed under: Homo sapiens (human)
Lineage: Eukaryota; Metazoa; Chordata; Mammalia; Primates; Hominidae
Description: HSALNT0319422
Source: RNAcentral